This is a long non-coding RNA of Calypte anna (Anna's hummingbird), 326 nucleotides long. RefSeq lists it as uncharacterized. The record is from RefSeq and is a predicted model, not a curated record. The transcript has 3 exons. Lineage: Eukaryota; Metazoa; Chordata; Aves; Apodiformes; Trochilidae.
AUGUAGAUGAAGUCAAACUAUUGGGGACAAAAGUGAGAGAAAAAUCUGUUGAGAGCUGGAGUGACCUCCUAUGCACUAAUGUUAUUGCAAAGGACUCUGGGGAGCUCCAGUCAACAAAAGUGCUCUCUGAUUUCUGUGGUCAGACUGCAGGAAGCUGGAGAUCACAAAUAGGCUAGUUGCAGCGUGUUUGUUCCAGUAAAUCCUUUGUAAGGCAGGCACAGAGAGACUCUGGGUUGAGGUAAGUGCAGUCCUUGCCCCAGCCUAGUGCUGAUAGCAGUUCCUUUAAUGUUGUGCUCAGUUGCAGUGGUCAUGGACCAGAACCCCUU